Molecule: ribosomal RNA, 406 nt
Filed under: uncultured bacterium
Lineage: Bacteria
Description: partial 16S ribosomal RNA
Rfam family: Bacterial small subunit ribosomal RNA
Source: RNAcentral
AUUGAACGCUGGCGGCAGGCCUAACACAUGCAAGUCGAACGAGUGGCGGACGGGUGAGUAAUGUCUGGGAAACUGCCUGAUGGAGGGGGAUAACUACUGGAAACGGUAGCUAAUACCGCAUACCAUCGGAUGUGCCCAGAUGGGAUUAGCUAGUAGGUGGGGUAAAGGCUCACCUAGGCGACGAUCCCUAGCUGGUCUGAGAGGAUGACCAGCCACACUGGAACGUAGACACGGUCCAGAAUCCUACGGGAGGAAGCAGUGGGGAAUAUGGCGAAAUGGGAGGAAGACUGAUGCAGCCAUCCCGCGUGGAUGAAGAAGGCCUUCGGGUUGUAAAGUACUUUCAGCGGGGAGGCGUUACCCGCAGAAGAAGCACCGGCUAACUCCGUGCCAGCAGCCGCGGUAAUAC